This 93-nucleotide transfer RNA is filed under the name Streptomyces sp. NWU339. Its description in RNAcentral is "tRNA-Thr". It matches the Rfam family "tRNA". Rfam says of the family: Transfer RNA (tRNA) molecules are approximately 80 nucleotides in length. Their secondary structure includes four short double-helical elements and three loops (D, anti-codon, and T loops). Further hydrogen bonds mediate the characteristic L-shaped molecular structure. tRNAs have two regions of fundamental functional importance: the anti-codon, which is responsible for specific mRNA codon recognition, and the 3' end, to which the tRNAs corresponding amino acid is attached (by aminoacyl-tRNA synthetases). tRNAs cope with the degeneracy of the genetic code in two manners: having more than one tRNA (with a specific anti-codon) for a particular amino acid; and 'wobble' base-pairing, i.e. permitting non-standard base-pairing at the 3rd anti-codon position. The record is from RNAcentral. Lineage: Bacteria; Bacillati; Actinomycetota; Actinomycetes; Kitasatosporales; Streptomycetaceae.
GGAGGAUUGGCCGAGUGGUAAGGCACUGGCUUGGUUCAAGCCAUGGUCGGGCCUGGAAAGCCCGCGCACGUUCGAUCCGUGCAUCCUCCGCCG